RNAcentral lists this transfer RNA (86 nucleotides) under Clostridiales bacterium. RNAcentral describes it as "tRNA-Leu". It matches the Rfam family "tRNA". From Rfam's summary of the family: Transfer RNA (tRNA) molecules are approximately 80 nucleotides in length. The record is from RNAcentral. Lineage: Bacteria; Bacillati; Bacillota; Clostridia; Eubacteriales. RNAcentral also lists the same sequence under 1 other name.
GCCCGAGUGGCGGAAUGGCAGACGCGGCGGACUCAAAAUCCGCUCCAAGCGAUUGGGUGGGGGUUCAAGUCCCUUCUCGGGCACCA